RNAcentral lists this ribosomal RNA (440 nucleotides) under uncultured bacterium. Its description in RNAcentral is "partial 16S ribosomal RNA". It matches the Rfam family "Bacterial small subunit ribosomal RNA", at positions 338 to 795 of the family's 1533-position model. The record is from RNAcentral.
CCUACGGGUGGCAGCAGUAGGGAAUAUUGCUCAAUGGGGGAAACCCUGAAGCAGCAACGCCGCGUGGAGGAUGAAGGUUUUCGGAUUGUAAACUCCUUUUGUUAGAGAAGAUAAUGACGGUAUCUAACGAAUAAGCACCGUCUAACUCCGUGCCAGCAGCCGCGGUAAUACGGAGGGUGCAAGCGUUACUCGGAAUCACUGGGCGUAAAGAGCGGGUAGGCGGGAUAGCAAGUCAGAAGUGAAAUCCUAGGGCUUAACCAUAGAACUGCAUUUGAAACUGUUGUUCUAGAGUAUGGGAGAGGUAGGUGGAAUUCGUGGUGUAGGGGUAAAAUCCGUAGAGAUCAAGAGGAAUACUCAUUGCGAAGGCGACCUGCUAGAACAUAACUGACGCUGAUGCGCGAAAGCGUGGGGAGCAAACAGGAUUAGAUACCCCAGUAGUC